ACACACACACACACACACACCCCUAGAGAGAAAGAGAGAGAAAGAGAGUGGAAAAGACUGUUAUGUGGAAGAAAUGAAUACCUUUUGAGUGUACUGCAAGUCCACUGUCAGCUUGGGGGAAUACUAGUAGAAGAUGCAGAUGUGUGCACGACAGCACUGAGUUGUUUGGUUUUGUUUACUGUCCUUUCCUUUUAAUCAUAAUUUAGAUUGCUUGGGGGAGGGUGUAGGUGCUUUUUGCACAUAAGAUGUAAGUUAAGUUUUGAAUUUUAAAUUUGUUGAGAAGAAUGGGGCCAUGGGGGAACUAAUUUCUGUGCUUGAUUCAAAUCCAAUUCUCUAGAGUGGACCUUGAUUUAUAUAUAUUUUUUAUUUGUCCUAUAGAUUCAAAUUGCCACGGUGGGGACUGGGGAAUCAACUCAAAUUACUCAAAUAGUACAAGUCAAAUAGAAAAUGUGCGAUUGUAACAGCGUUGGUCCAAAUCCUUAGUCCAAUAUUUUUAAAGGUUUAGGAUUAACUCUGUUUCUAUAAAUGCUUGUGUUUGUAAUUCUUAUAGUUCAGUUUUUAGUCAAUAGAAAUUUCCUGCAAUUAUUGCUUUUGGAUUGUGAGAUGCAGUUCAAUCCUAGAUGUGAUGCCUAUGUUACCUUGGAUUUGAAGCCUAAGGAUUAAGGAAGCUUACUUGUCAAUCCUAAACCUUUAUUUACUUUUUUGCUGGUACUGUUCACAGUGCCUUAACUGCACAGCAAACAUGCCCUAUAAUAUGUUUUCCUUUUGUUAUUUUGCUGCCUAGCUACUCUUGGUUAUAAAUUCUGAUUGUUUACCUACUCUAAUUUUCUACUAAUUCAAGCUUUCUAAUAAACUCAAAAUCUAGCCUAAGUUACCAGCUUUUACAAGCUGUCUUAUGUCAAAAAUUGGAAGUCACAAUCGAAGUGGCUGAUUAUUCAAACAUAUUUUCUUAUUGCUUCUCUCAUGGUGUUUAUGUUAUCUUCAAUAUAGCUUUUGAUUGUUAUUCAUAUUUCUUUUGAUAUUUCAGCCUCUGCGAGCAAAGCAUUGC
This 1048-nucleotide unclassified non-coding RNA is filed under the name Hevea brasiliensis (rubber tree). Lineage: Eukaryota; Viridiplantae; Streptophyta; Magnoliopsida; Malpighiales; Euphorbiaceae. The record is from RNAcentral.